Molecule: ribosomal RNA, 385 nt
Filed under: uncultured bacterium
Lineage: Bacteria
Description: bacterial SSU rRNA
Rfam family: Bacterial small subunit ribosomal RNA
Source: RNAcentral
GACGAACGCUGGCGGCGUGCUUAACACAUGCAAGUCGAGCGGUAAGGCCCUUUCGGGGGUACACGAGCGGCGAACGGGUGAGUAACACGUGGGUGACCUGCCCUCAGCUCUGGGAUAAGCCUGGGAAACUGGGUCUAAUACUGGAUAUGACUCCACGGUGCAUGUCGUGGGGUGGAAAGCCUUGUGCGGCUGAGGAUGGGCCCGCGGCCUAUCAGCUUGUUGGUGGGGUGAUGGCCUACCAAGGCGACGACGGGUAGCCGGCCUGAGAGGGCGACCGGCCACACUGGGACUGAGACACGGCCCAGACUCCUACGGGAGGCAGCAGUGGGGAAUCUUGCGCAAUGGGCGAAAGCCUGACGCAGCGACGCCGCGUGAGGGAUGACGG